Molecule: long non-coding RNA, 595 nt
Filed under: Medicago truncatula (barrel medic)
Lineage: Eukaryota; Viridiplantae; Streptophyta; Magnoliopsida; Fabales; Fabaceae
Description: lncRNA gene7593
Source: RNAcentral
GUUGUCUCAUAUUCGCUUAGCCAUUUUUGAUUGGAUAAGCUGACUUCCUCUGCUUUGAUGCUUCAAUUUUUGACUUGAGAUAUCCUUAACAUAUUCCUUUCUUCUUUGCUUAAUCUACAUUUGCAUCUGUAAACCAGAAAAUGAUGUACGGAUCACAAUACUCAUCAUUAAAUCACCUAAAACUGAAAACAUACAAAGAUGGGGAAAAAGCACAUGUUUUCUACUUAACUAAGUUAGUAAAUUCUUUCAUUGUUAUUGGGCCACUCGGACCACGGUCUAGAUAUCUAGUUUUUAGCGUGAGGGAUGCCUGUUAUAAAAGAGUCUCAUAUUGCACAUGUUUUAAAAAUGAGGUUAAUGAUCACCUUACAAGUCAGUUUUAUAAGAAUAAUUAUAUCUCUUAAAAAAUAGUGUAAACAAAAUGACAGUCAAAUCACUCAAAUAUAACCUCAAGUUCAUCACAUUCUCAAACUUUAAUAGUAAAUCGGAUAAGUACAAACAUAAUAUAUUAUUCAAGUGCUAUAUAUUCUACUUAUAUGUGGUGGAAAGCUGGAAAGAAGUGGGAGUAGCUGUUGCAACAACAAAUUCUUUAAUCAUA